RNAcentral lists this small RNA (125 nucleotides) under Marmota monax (woodchuck). The record is from RNAcentral. Lineage: Eukaryota; Metazoa; Chordata; Mammalia; Rodentia; Sciuridae.
GCUGGGCACAGUGGUGCACGCCUGUAAUCUCAGCAGCUCAGGAGGCUGAGGUAGGAGGAUCACAAGUUCAAACCCAGCCUCAGCCAAAGCAAGGUACUAAGCAACUCAGUGAGACCCUGUCUCUA